This is a non-coding RNA of Pogona vitticeps (central bearded dragon), 330 nucleotides long. The record is from RefSeq and is a predicted model, not a curated record. NCBI's taxonomy places the organism in Eukaryota, Metazoa, Chordata, Lepidosauria, Squamata, Agamidae.
UGAACUUUUGCAGAAGCGUUUGGCUCCCUUCUAGAGGUGGCUUGUCUCGUGACCUCUGAGCUGUUGGCGACUCUUCUUGGAUGGCUUGGACGAGGAACCCUGCGCUCUCUUUGCUUGCCUGCCACACCCCUGGGCUGGCUUUUCUACCCUUUGGGCCUUUGGGCUUCAGGUUCUCCUGCGAUCUGGUGGCCUUGAGAUCUGUCACACUGCAGUUCCCAUCGUCCCCAGACAGCGUGGCUGAGCAACAGAAUCCUACGUGGGAAAGCAGAAUUUGGGUGGCAUCUUCUUUGCAAGAGAAAGGAGCAUAUGUUUACUUUCUGGUGACCGGAA